Molecule: long non-coding RNA, 627 nt
Filed under: Chrysemys picta bellii (western painted turtle)
Lineage: Eukaryota; Metazoa; Chordata; Testudines; Emydidae
Description: lncRNA (ENSCPBG00000014140.1)
Source: RNAcentral
AUUCAUGUACCUGGCAUCAUCCAGCCAGUCAUCUGUCCCUGCAUGUUUAUUUAAAAUUAAAACCAAGAUCAAAAAUUAGCCAAAAGAAGUUCUUUAAAAAUAAUAUUGAAAUGGUUUAUAACCAAAACAUGUUUUGCUCUGGCCUCAUGCUCCCUUCUUUUUAUACCCAUCAAUGAUUUUAGCAGACUGAUGUGUGUCAAAUGUGUUAAUCGGGUACAAAGAAGGCAGAACUGGACUCCUAAAUCAGCUGUCAAAGAGAACGGCACUAACGUGGUAUCGCAGGUGGAAAGAGACUACAGGGAGCAUCUCUACUCUUCCUGCUGGCACCCACGUAAUCAUGCAGCAGCAGGGCAAGCCCACCUCCCAAAGGAGAAGAUGCAACUCCCAGAUGUCGGAGGCUUGUAAGCAAUCUUUGCCUUGGAAAUGAUUGUCUUUUUUUCUUUGAGUUUUUAACUUUGCUCUCAACACCAGGUGUCACUGUAGUGACAGAAAACCUUACAAAUUCAGGAGAAUUGGUCAGCAAAGCAAAAUUUGCAAAAUGAAAAGCACUCCAGACACAAGGUGGCAAUGGCAGCAGUUACACAUAUGAUACUCCAUAAAACAGUGUACAUUGUGUAAGCAAAAGAC